This is a long non-coding RNA of Bos taurus (domestic cattle), 920 nucleotides long. The record is from Ensembl. Lineage: Eukaryota; Metazoa; Chordata; Mammalia; Artiodactyla; Bovidae.
AAAAAGGGCCUGAUCACAAGCGUUUGCAUCUUAGAUCCUAGACAGCUUACUUAACAGCUCAGAGCCUCAGUUUCCUCAUCUCUAAGAUACAUAUGUGCUCAUGAUAAAAUACUAAGCAGGAAAGUCCGGCAGGCAGGAAGCACGUCUUUCUCACUCACUUACUGCAGGCCCAGCACAUGGAGCAGUGAUUGGCAUGUGGUAGGGGCUCCAUCUUGGAUAUGCUCCUUAGUCUUCCCAAAUCCAUUUGGAGGGGUUCAGGCUGUUCCUGCUUCCCCAACCCCUAAGGCAGAGAACUACCUGCUCCAUCAGAGCUCCUCAACUCUGCAGCCACAGAUGAUUCCUAAAUGAGUGAGCAUGGCUGUAUUCCAAGAAAUCUAGAUAUCCAGAGUUUCAAGAGAAGUCUGGAUUGUUCUGAAAGGAAAUAUGGAAGAACAAACAAACAAACAACAUAGACUGGGUCAAACAGGACCUGAGAAGGGGAGACUGGCUUAUGGACCAGCGGCUUGCCAUUCUGGGCUUUGGAGUGAGAGGGAAAACUUCUGAACCUGGGCGCAUGCUCCAAGGAUAGAUGGACACUAGGAAGAGGGGACUGAUGCCCACUGGAUAAACAAGGCCUAUAUUCCCAAAUAGUCCAUUUGCCUGAAAUACUUUGAGGAAAUCAUUGUUAAAGUCUAAGCAUAUUUGGUUAGAUUGCAGAACUUAAAUCUUCUCCUUUUUUUUUAAUUAAAAUUUUUUCUUAAAUUGGCAUUACAUAUAAUAAAGUUCACUGAUCUUAUUAAGUACAGUUCAGUGGAUUAAUUUUGUUGGUUCCUAAACUCAUGUAUAUGGAGUCAUACAGAAAAUGCUACUUGGGGUCUGGCUCGCUUCCCUCGACCUUGUCUGAGAUCAUUCAUGUCACUACGGGUAGCAGUGGUCUGUGC